GAUGAACGCUGGCGGCGUGCCUAAUACAUGCAAGUCUUUCGAACGGACGUGAAGCUUGCUUUUCUGCUGUUAGCGGCGGACGGUUGAGUAAAACGUGGAUACCCUACCUUUAAGACUGGGAUAACUUCGGGACACCUGAGCUAAUACCAGAUCAUAUUUUGACCCGCAUGGUUCAAAAGUGAAAGACGGUCUUGCUGUCCCUUAUAUAUGGAUCCGCGCUGCAUUAGCUAGUUGGUAAGGUAACGGCUGACCAAGGCAACGAUGCAUAGCCGACCUGAGAGGGUGAGGGGGCACACCUGAAAUGAGACACGGUCAAGACUCCUAUGGGAGGCAGCAGUAGGGAAUAUGCCGCAAAGGGCGAAAGAAUGACGGAGCAAGGGCGCGAGAGUGAUGAAGGUAUUCGGAUCGUAAAACUCAGUUAUUAGGGAAGAAAAUAUGUGUAAGUAACUGUGAAAAAAAUGACGGUACCUAAACAGAAAGCGACGGCUAAAUACGUG
This 497-nucleotide ribosomal RNA is filed under the name uncultured bacterium. RNAcentral describes it as "partial 16S ribosomal RNA". It matches the Rfam family "Bacterial small subunit ribosomal RNA", at positions 28 to 507 of the family's 1533-position model. The record is from RNAcentral.